Molecule: transfer RNA, 99 nt
Filed under: Sclerotinia nivalis
Lineage: Eukaryota; Fungi; Ascomycota; Leotiomycetes; Helotiales; Sclerotiniaceae
Rfam family: tRNA
About the family: Transfer RNA (tRNA) molecules are approximately 80 nucleotides in length. Their secondary structure includes four short double-helical elements and three loops (D, anti-codon, and T loops). Further hydrogen bonds mediate the characteristic L-shaped molecular structure. tRNAs have two regions of fundamental functional importance: the anti-codon, which is responsible for specific mRNA codon recognition, and the 3' end, to which the tRNAs corresponding amino acid is attached (by aminoacyl-tRNA synthetases). tRNAs cope with the degeneracy of the genetic code in two manners: having more than one tRNA (with a specific anti-codon) for a particular amino acid; and 'wobble' base-pairing, i.e. permitting non-standard base-pairing at the 3rd anti-codon position.
Source: Rfam by way of RNAcentral
GGCCUGCUGGCCCAAUGGCAAGGCGCUUGACUACGACUUUUCAGAAAAAAAUCUGAAGCCAGCAUCAAGAGAUUGCAGGUUCGAUCCCUGCGUAGGUCA